This 473-nucleotide ribosomal RNA is filed under the name uncultured bacterium. Its description in RNAcentral is "bacterial SSU rRNA". It matches the Rfam family "Bacterial small subunit ribosomal RNA", at positions 26 to 518 of the family's 1533-position model. The record is from RNAcentral.
AGGACGAACGCUGGCGGCGUGCCUAACACAUGCAAGUCGAGCGAGGAGAUCCUCGGGAUGAUCCUAGCGGCGGACGGGUGAGUAGCACGUGGGCAACCUGCCUCAUAGAGAGGAAUAGCCUUCCGAAAGGGAGAUUAAUACCUCAUAACAUUGCAGUUUCGCAUGGAACAGCAAUUAAAGGAGUAAUCCGCUAUGAGAUGGGCCCGCGGCGCAUUAGCUAGUUGGUGAGGUAAUGGCUCACCAAGGCGACGAUGCGUAGCCGACCUGAGAGGGUGAUCGGCCACAUUGGGACUGAGACACGGCCCAGACUCCUACGGGAGGCAGCAGUGGGGAAUAUUGCACAAUGGGGGAAACCCUGAUGCAGCAACGCCGCGUGAGUGAUGACGGCCUUCGGGUUGUAAAGCUCUGUCUUCAGGGACGAUAAUGACGGUACCUGAGGAGGAAGCCACGGCUAACUACGUGCCAGCCGCCGC